This is a long non-coding RNA of Pundamilia nyererei, 578 nucleotides long. RefSeq lists it as uncharacterized. The record is from RefSeq and is a predicted model, not a curated record. The transcript has 3 exons. NCBI's taxonomy places the organism in Eukaryota, Metazoa, Chordata, Actinopteri, Cichliformes, Cichlidae.
GUUUUCCUUAGGUCUUUGUUGGCGUCAGCUACCUGGAUUUGCUGCCUGAUCAGAAUAACGGAACCAUGACAUCCCAUCAUGCCUGUGGGAUGCUAGUUUUCCUCAGUGUAUUCCUGAUUUCAUAUACACCACAAUGCAAUGGAGGAAGUAUUCUUGUGGUUCCUGUAGAUGGCAGCCACUGGCUCAAUAUGAAACUCUUGGUAGAAGAACUUCAUGCUAGGGGACACAAUCUCACUGUGAUCAGGACCUCCAGGAGCUGGUACAUCCCUGAAAAGUCUGAUCUAUACACAUCCAUUACAAUUGAAAUGGCUCUAGAUUAUGAGCAGUAUUUAGAUGUGUUCCUACAGGAGCAGAUACAGGUGCAAAGAGAGGGAGGACCAUUGGCUUUCUUCAAACUCACCAAGGGUUUAAUGUCUAUGCUUUCUCGUGGCCAUUCACUUUGGUAUGAUGCUUUGAAAAAUAUUUUUGUUGAUCAAAAUAUGAUCAAAGGAUUAAGAGAUUCCCAGUAUGAUCUGGUUCUAACUGAUCCAGCUUUAGCCCCAGGGCUUAUUCUAGCCAAAUAUCUCAAGCUCCCCUUA